This is a long non-coding RNA of Chelonus insularis, 992 nucleotides long. RefSeq lists it as uncharacterized. NCBI's taxonomy places the organism in Eukaryota, Metazoa, Arthropoda, Insecta, Hymenoptera, Braconidae. The record is from RefSeq and is a predicted model, not a curated record. The transcript is spliced from 3 exons.
UUAACGUAGGUUUAUUUGGUUUUGGCUUUACUACUACCAUUUGUUCUACCAUCCAUCCCACCUAAUUUAACGUUUAUUAAAUUAUAAUCAAUUUUUAAUAAAUUUAUUAUUCUAAUUAUAUUACCUCUCCUAUGGGAUCACAUAAAACUUCAGGAACAGAAAUUUGCAGAUCUUCUAUUGGAGAUGAGAUUCUUCGAUUUUCGUCAUCAUCAGUAUCGGAAUCUGAAGAGCUAUCACUACUACUGCUACUGCUACUGCUACUAUCACUGCUAUUUUCGGAGUCUUCACUAUCUGUAUCAUCAUUCAGUGUAUUAUUCCGGUAGUUAUUUUGCUUGCUAUCAUCAAUUGUUAUUUGUUCAUGGGUAAUAUUUAUUUCUGAUUCUUCUUCAUCUUCAGAUUCAGAAUAAGUUGAUGCUAUAAUGCUUAAAGCAUUUGUUACUUGAAUAACUUUUAUAUCGUCUUUUGAUUUAUCACAAUACGUCAUUUGAAAACUAUCAGUAUGAUUCGGCUCCACAAUAUUUUUACAUAAUUCAUUACAAUCAUUGUCAAUCAAAUUGACUUUCACUUCUAUAUUUUCUUCACUACUUUCUUUGUUUGUUGUAUUAUUUUUUUCAAACCGUUCAAGAUCCAUCUUUUUCACUAGUAAUAUUCAUAAAUAAACAUGUAUUUAGUGUCGGCAGAAAAUCACGUGUUUCAUAACCUAAACACUAUAAAAUGAUUUAAUACUUUGUAAAUAACGUAUAUAGUCACAUAUACGUUGUGUUAUCCCGUCACAUGGGCAAUUGAUUAUUUUGGAACAGAAAUACGACGAACUCUAACGGUAGUUUUAAGAAUUAUAUUUGUGAACUGUAUUAUGUCAACAUUGCCAGAGAAGAGAGAGACGCUACAUAUGGCUGGAAUUUUAGUAUCCCAUCUAAAAUUGGAAUUCUAAAAUUCUAAAUGUAUCUCAAAAAAUUCGUCCAACAGAUUCUCACGCGAUAUGUCAUCUAUAU